Molecule: long non-coding RNA, 1964 nt
Organism: Myripristis murdjan (pinecone soldierfish)
Lineage: Eukaryota; Metazoa; Chordata; Actinopteri; Holocentriformes; Holocentridae
Exons: 2
Source: RefSeq, a predicted model, not a curated record
GUGGAAGAUGUAGUCGUCCCCUUCACUGGGCGGGCAGGCCCAGAUGUGACCUGUUGUGUAGCUGAGGAACACACACGAGGUAGCCGAUGAGGAUCUCAUGGUAGACUGCUGUUCUCAGACAGCGAGGCCGGAAAAAGUGUACGCUGUCCAGGUAAGAGAUGUACACCCGCCUGGAAGAGAGGAAGCACAGUGGAAUGAAUUUGAACAACCAGUUAAAAAUUUUAAUUAGACUAAAUGUAAAAUAAAAACAUGAAGCAAUGUUCUCACCUCUGGUUGGGCUGAGGACAGUCGGAUCCGUACUCCUGAACGUGCAUACCGAAGAAACAAACGUCUGCUCCGUCUAUGUCCUCAAAGGCAAACAGGGCUUUUGUCCUGUAGGGAAAAGACUCUGCCAUCUCCCCGUUGUCCACGAACCUGGAAACAGCAGGAGUUUGUCAAUUUUCCUAACAUUAAAUACAAUAGUAAUAGUAAAAAUAAAACAAAUCAGUAUUAUUUUCAUCAUCAAAAUUCAUAACUACCUGUAAAACUAUAGGUAACAUCAAAAUUGUUUUAUAAAAAAUAUUUAUCUGAUGAAAAAGUGAAAGCUCCUGAAUUUUGCUUGUAUUUUCCUGUAUUUCAGUGUACGGUAACUGGAUUUAAUAUGAGCGGUAAACAUUAAAAAGGAAAUGAUAUCAAACUACCUGGAACUAUUUUCGUCAACAAUCAAGUUCCAAAUUCAGUGUAGGACUCAGCAUGAUUUGAUCUUGAUCCUUGUGUGUGUGUGUGAUGUAUGUGCAUGUGUUGGGACACUGGGAGGGUUGAAGGGUGUAUGUAUAUCUGUGCGUUGCGGUAUGGUUGUCUGUAUGUUUCUGUGUUUGUAUGAGCUGUGAAAACAAAUUUCCUGCGGGACAAUACAGAAUCUAUCCAUCUUAGAGAGUGACCCAGAAAGUCCCAGUUCUCAUCCUCUAGCCUCUCCCCUAACUAAUGCAGCACAAUUAAAUACAAAAUAAUUCAAUUUUUUCCCAAAAUCGAGAGCUGGCAAUUUUCUCAGUGAGUUAACAAUGGUGUCAGACAGGUUCCUUAACAGCGUCCGCUCACACUGUGCAGAAACGGUUGCCAACUAAACAAGUUACAUAACCGAGAAAAUGUUUAAUUUUAUUCUGAAUAUUAACAUCUAAUUUUCUCUUCCAACAGUUUUUUGUAUAGGAAAAUAAAAAGAAAUGCUGCAAUAAAGAUCUGCACACACUUCCAAACUUAAUCACAACUGUUCAAUCUGACUGAAUCACAAUGUGAUAGUUGAUGUUUCAUCCUAAAUCUGUUGCAACGUUUCCCUUUGAUUGAUGUUAAAUCUGUUUGUUUAUCUAUCAAAACCACACCCCGCUGUGAGAAACCAGACAAGCAUCUCUGCAUGUGAGACACUUGUUUUACGUCAGAGCUGAUCUUGUGUCUUGUACCUGGACUUCAUGCCCGGUUUGACCUCCACCACUUUAUCCGACACGUGCACAACGCGGAUGAAGACCUCGCCCGACUCCGGAUGACUCUGCCGCUUCAGGAAGUCGUUCACUCUCGUCUCCAGGAAACUACCCAACUUCGUCUGGGGCAACCCUGUGUGGUGGGAGAGCCAGGGAGGAGACACUUUAGUUAUAAACUGGUUGGUUCAAAUGAUAAAAAGCAGGCAGAGAGAGAGAGAACGAGUGAAAUAAUGAAUACAAAAGUGAAAAAAGAUAAACAAGAACACAAACGAUGUCAAACUCAAUGAGGAGAAGACCAGUACAGAAACAGCACAUGUAUUACUAAGUCAUGUCAAUUAAUAAAAUGAGAGUGUGGUUUUAAGUGGUGUCAGGAGGGUGUAAAUGGUUUUAAAGAAGCACAGGAUCUGUGCUGCACUGCUGAGGGGGGGUGUACGUACAGAGAAAGAGAGGAUGAAGAAAAAGAAGAAACUGGGAUAAUGCAGACAGUAAAAAUCAUUCCAAGUCUGAAGCAUU